GGUCCUAUGGUGUAAUUGGCAGCACUUCGGACUCUGAAUCCGGCGACCUGAGUUCGAGUCUCAGUAGGACCA
Molecule: non-coding RNA, 72 nt
Organism: Aphidius gifuensis
Lineage: Eukaryota; Metazoa; Arthropoda; Insecta; Hymenoptera; Braconidae
Source: the annotation of a RefSeq genome assembly